GAAGGAUCUCUGCCAAUCGAUUUAAAGAACUUGUCGAGAUUACUGGUAUUAAUGGAUAUUGAUGUUUCAUUUGACAAAGGGUGGAAGAAGCAAAAUUCCUGGCUUUUAAAUCCCUGGUCCAACAACAAGGCAACAUCCCGUGCUGUUUUAUUGAUGAGUGCAAAUGGAGUAACACAACCCAGGGACACCUUAAGUUUUUCACCCAAUGCUUCCUCGGGAGCCAUUCUCAGCCCUCCUUUACCCAAACCAAGUCUUGCAGAUAGAACUUUUAGGUCCACUUUGGUGUCUGCCAAUGCAGAAACAAUAUAGUAUCUAUUCUUUUUGUCCUUCAAAAACAGAUUCUUGCUGAGUCCACCCCCCAAAUUUCCAACAUAUUUGGCCUGAGCUUCAACUGUCAAUACAGCAGGAUGUUCGUACCUGGAAAAAUCAACUUGAAGAUCCUGCAACAGCGCGA
RNAcentral lists this unclassified non-coding RNA (454 nucleotides) under Hevea brasiliensis (rubber tree). Lineage: Eukaryota; Viridiplantae; Streptophyta; Magnoliopsida; Malpighiales; Euphorbiaceae. The record is from RNAcentral.